GGAUUAGAUACCCGGGUAGUCCUGGCAGUAAACGGUGCACGUUUGGUGUGGGAGGAUUCGACCCCUUCUGCGCCGGAGCUAACGCGUUAAACGUGCCGCCUGGGGAGUACGGUCGCAAGAUUAAAACUCAAAGAAAUUGACGGGGGCCCGCACAAGCGGUGGAGUAUGUGGCUUAAUUCGAUGCAACGCGAAGAACCUUACCUGGCCUUGACAUGCAUCUCUAAGUUGGUGAAAGCCAGCGAGUGGAGCAAUCCACAAUUUGCACAGGUGCUGCAUGGCUGUCGUCAGCUCGUGUCUUGAGAUGUUGGGUUAAGUCCCGCAACGAGCGCAACCCCUGUGAACUGUUGCCACCGGACCGAGAGGUCCGAGCACUCUGUUC
RNAcentral lists this ribosomal RNA (379 nucleotides) under uncultured bacterium. RNAcentral's name for it is "bacterial SSU rRNA". It matches the Rfam family "Bacterial small subunit ribosomal RNA", at positions 775 to 1145 of the family's 1533-position model. The record is from RNAcentral.